RNAcentral lists this ribosomal RNA (497 nucleotides) under uncultured bacterium. RNAcentral's name for it is "partial 16S ribosomal RNA". It matches the Rfam family "Bacterial small subunit ribosomal RNA", at positions 28 to 507 of the family's 1533-position model. The record is from RNAcentral.
GAUGAACGCUGGCGGCGUGCCUAAUACAUGCAAGUCGAGCGACCGGACGAGAAGCUUUCUUCUCUGCUGUUAGCGGCGGACGGGUGAGUAACACGUGGAUAACCUACCUAUAAGACUGGGAUAACUUCGGGAAACCGGAGCUAAUACCGGAUAAUAUUUUGAACCGCAUGGUUCAAAAGUAAAAGACGCUCUUGCUGUCACUUAUAGAUGGAUCCGCGCUGCAUUAGCUAGUUGGUAAGGUAACGGCUUACCAAGGCAACGAUGCAUAGCCGACCUGAGAGGGUGAUCGGCCACACUGGAACUGAGACACGGUCCAGACUCCUACGGGAGGCAGCAGUAGGGAAUCUUCCGCAAUGGGCGAAAGCCUGACGGAGCAACGCCGCGUGAGUGAUGAAGGUCUUCGGAUCGUAAAACUCUGUUAUUAGGGAAGAACAUAUGUGUAAGUAACUGUGCACAUCUUGACGGUACCUAAUCAGAAAGCCACGGCUAACUACGUG